UGCAGGACUUGCUCUUACCGCCAGGCUCCCUGUGCCCCGCGAUUCCUUCCGCAGCAAAGACCACCACUCUCGGAGCACGGCUUCUAAGGCCGCAGAUCAGGAACUUGGAUAUUCUUACUCAAAGGCGCAGCCUUUACUGUGCAGCAGUGCACCUUCAACAUCUGGAAAAUGCUGGAAGUUACAGAUGUUUAAUUGCCAAAAUAUAAAAAGUUGGCAAGGAGUCAUUUGGUGUCCAUUCUCUUGCUGGACGAUUCUGGAUGGAGCCGACAGAUACAAGGAGUCAUCACUAAAAAUGUCAGGAAGGUGGUGCUCUAAGUGAAUUCAGGUGAGUCCUUGAAAGAAAAAAACCAGGAUUGAAAGAAAACAUUUAUUGAAUCAAAAUCAAUACUUUCUUUUUUAAUAUCUACAAGCCAACAAUGAAUUCACUUCAUUCAAGAAUGAACACAAAUGUACAAAAAAAGUAUGCUUAUAUUAUAAAAAUAUGUCAAUUUUAUCUCCUGGGUGCUGAGCAGAAGUCAUUUUAAACAAAAUCAAGGCCAACUUGUUCCCUAUAACGAAACCUCUCCAAUUUCCUAACCGAAGUGAAAGCGGAUGUAGAGCCCGCUGAUGCUGCUGCCCCACUCAGAGGCGGACGCUGGCCCCCCCGGCUCUCAGGCACCACUACCUGCCUGCACAGGAAGGCACCUCUUCCACCCAACACAUCACUGCUAGCACAGUCUUCCUGCGGCUUCUCUUGCUUAACAGUUGUUAGCAUCUAUUUCAGCAAAGUAGUAACAGGAUAAAGAAUUCUGAGCACAAAAAUCCUACUUAUUUAAUCAGCUUCAAUUUAAAAAUGAGAUCCACUGCUAUGGACAACAAACGACCUCUCAAGAUUUUACAAUCCCAUUUAUGAAGGUGGGAAAGCUGCUGCCCUCCACUCUCAAACAUCUUUAAAGCCUCCAUAGGAAAAAUGUAUGACCAGGGUUAGCAUCUCCGUCACGCCACUCACCGGCACCUUUGCAGCACCUGGCCUGGGCUGUGCGGCGAAGGCCCGCGCGCUCCUGCUCCCGUGGAGCACAGUUCGCGUGCUCUAGUGAUGGGGAGACAUGAAUACCGAAGUCCUCAAGAGCUGAGGCAGAGGGACAGUGGCUCCUGGAUGCUGUUCCAGGAGUUAUGUGACAAUACAGAACACUGCUCUCCCCAUGCUGACAAAGCCAAGGAAACCCCGUCCGUGCACGGCGGUGUCCUGGAGGAGGAGUGGCAAGGGCACGCAGGCGAAUCCUGGAACGCAGCAUCCAUAGUGAAGUAAAGACAACAGAUGGAUUAAAGGGUAAAUUACUCAACUGCCUCUCUCUGCUUGGCAUGGACACAUCUGAAGGCCCAAAACUGCAAGAUACAAGGAUCUCCUCCUGGUUCACCACUCUGCUGGGUAAAUAAAGCAACUUCAGAAAUGCUUUGUUUUACAUAAACCAAAGGUUUCUUAAAUUACCUGGGACUAAGCUUUUCCCUGGGAAAGGGGCUAAAUGAAGGCAGAAGAGAAAACUAUCGUGUUCCUCUAUGCAAACACUAAUCCCUUAUAGCUCUCUAAGUUUUCCAUUAAGCGCCAUUUCCUGCAUGAAAUGUUAACCCUACCAAAGGUAGAUAGGCCUGAACUGGACAUAGGAUUUAAACAUUUAAUACUACACUGACUCUGGCUUAAUUUAACCCUAUGCUCUACUACAUGACAGAAGCAUUUAUAGAAAUAUUUGAAAUACACAAAAUUUGUGAAAGAUAAACAUUUUGGAACCUGAGCAAAGGCUUCUUACCAAUACCAUAAAAAGUCACCGUACUGGUCGUUCUCACAGGCAGCGAUUCAGCCAGGUCAGUGUGCUGCUUUUGGCAACUUAGCCAAACUGAAGCCCAAUACACUGCUGCCAGAAACAACUGGAUACCAGCACAUUACACAGAAGACAUAGAAAGGGAACAAGAGCCCAAAGAAUGAACAGCUGGCAGGAUGAAGGCGCUGCUCAGAGUUGCCGGGAUGGGUCUCCCCACAACAUACCUGUUCACUACCACACGUCCUAGCCCUCAAAGUACAUGUGCUGCACACUUACACCGAAGGCAUGCCUUGGGGAUGCCAGCCUUUCUCUUACUGCAGUUCUAGUCAGACAGACCAAAAAGUCAAGACGUCUGGAAAUAAGCUACCAAGUUAGCUUUCUCUGUGGACGACUGACACGACUUGGUGCCACAGCAAAACUCUCUAAUAGCAGCAGUACCAGCCCGUGGCAGAAGAGAAACACUCAUUUCUCACAUCCCAUGGGCCACCACAUCAACUCCAUCAAGCAUGCAAAUAUCUAUUCUGCUGAAGUUUCAAACAAAUAUAAACGAUCAUUGUGCUUGUGGGUCUCAUACCUUCCCAAGGUGGCAAGUUAACUUAGCAGUAAAAUCACAGGGCGGAAAUGAAAUGUCUACGAUGGGAAAACUGCGGGCUGGUGCCGGCAGUCCCAGAACAUAUCAUGCUCAGUAGGGUCAGACCCUCCCGCCCGCGCCCUGGGCACUGCAGUCCUGUCUCGAGUGCCCACAGCGUGGUCUCAGGGCAGAGCAGCAGCAUCACUGGCGUGGUCGCAGGGGUGGGCAAGGUGCCCGUCAACUUCUUUUGUAGUUAAGGACGAAAGAAUGCAAUCACAAGACAAAGUGACAGAGUAGUGGGCAGAGAAAAUAUCGAAGUUCACAAUGACCUGUAAAAGCAAAACAAGAAUUCAAAUUAUUUUCACACUUUCAGGCUUUAUCUUUCUUAAAAGCAGUCUGUGUUUAAGUGCUAACCCUGCAAUCACUUCACUGUGCAUGAGACUGUUUGAUGCCUGUAGUUAAAGGAUCAACCUCACUCCUUGUUUCAAAGAUGCACGCAAGUGUAUCCUGUCAUAAGACUCGGGCGAAAGUCUCCCCUCCGCCCC
RNAcentral lists this long non-coding RNA (2912 nucleotides) under Heterocephalus glaber (naked mole-rat). RNAcentral describes it as "lncRNA (ENSHGLG00100005953.2)". The record is from RNAcentral. Lineage: Eukaryota; Metazoa; Chordata; Mammalia; Rodentia; Bathyergidae.